Molecule: transfer RNA, 58 nt
Filed under: Salmo salar (Atlantic salmon)
Lineage: Eukaryota; Metazoa; Chordata; Actinopteri; Salmoniformes; Salmonidae
Also listed under: 1 other name
Rfam family: tRNA
About the family: Transfer RNA (tRNA) molecules are approximately 80 nucleotides in length. Their secondary structure includes four short double-helical elements and three loops (D, anti-codon, and T loops).
Source: Rfam by way of RNAcentral
UGGCUCAGUUGUUAGAGCAUGGUGUGUGCAACACCAGGGUUGUGGGUUCGAUUCCCAC